UACGUAGGCAGCAAGCGUUGUUCGGAGUUACUGGGCGUAAAGCGCACGUAGGCGGCUUUCUAAGUCGGGGGUGAAAUCCUGGAGCUCAACUCCAGAACUGCCUUCGAUACUGGAGAGCUUGAGUCCGGGAGAGGUGAGUGGAACUGCGAGUGUAGAGGUGAAAUUCGUAGAUAUUCGCAAGAACACCAGUGGCGAAGGCGGCUCACUGGCCCGGUACUGACGCUGAGGUGCGAAAGCGUGGGGAGCAAACAGG
This 253-nucleotide ribosomal RNA is filed under the name uncultured bacterium. RNAcentral's name for it is "partial 16S ribosomal RNA". It matches the Rfam family "Bacterial small subunit ribosomal RNA", at positions 524 to 776 of the family's 1533-position model. The record is from RNAcentral.